RNAcentral lists this ribosomal RNA (263 nucleotides) under uncultured bacterium. RNAcentral describes it as "partial 16S ribosomal RNA". It matches the Rfam family "Bacterial small subunit ribosomal RNA", at positions 57 to 305 of the family's 1533-position model. The record is from RNAcentral.
GCAAGUUGAGCGGUAAGGCCCCUUCGGGGGUACACGAGCAGCGAACGGGUGAGUAUCGCGUGGGUAAUCUACCUAGAGGUGGGGGAUAGCCUCGGGAAACCGAGGGUAAUACCGCAUAUGUCUAUAACGACGAGAGUCGACUUGGGCAAAGGCGGGGCUCCUUCGGGACCUGUCGCCACUAGAUGAGCCCGCGUCCGAUUAGCUUGUUGGUGAGGUAAUGGCUCACCAAGGCGACGAUCGGUAGCCGGCCUGAGAGGGUGAAC